GUCGAUAUGUCAACUUUACUAUUGAAAGAAUUGGGGGGUGGGUAAGGAGAUGAUUGAAAGAGAAGGAGAAUGAGAGAUAAAAAGAUUUAAAAAAUAAUUAAAAAUAAGAAUAAUAAAAAAUUAUGAGUUUGUGAAGGGGCUUCAAGGAUCAAGGUUGUUGAUUAUCAUAAGAUUUAUCUGAGAAAAAAUAAUCACGUCAUGCAUCGAUAGGGUUCUAAGCUAGUAUAUAUAUUAAAAUGGAGGCUUUUCGAUGAAGAAGCCUCCAUUUGCCGCACGGGGUGUUG
This 284-nucleotide long non-coding RNA is filed under the name Elaeis guineensis (African oil palm). Its description in RNAcentral is "long non-coding RNA (EGUI_LNC018387)". The record is from RNAcentral. Lineage: Eukaryota; Viridiplantae; Streptophyta; Magnoliopsida; Arecales; Arecaceae.